Canis lupus familiaris (dog) is the source of this 644-nucleotide long non-coding RNA. RefSeq lists it as uncharacterized. The record is from RefSeq and is a predicted model, not a curated record. NCBI's taxonomy places the organism in Eukaryota, Metazoa, Chordata, Mammalia, Carnivora, Canidae. The transcript has 3 exons.
GGCCGCGGGGGUGGAGCGGCCGCAGCUGCCCACACCCCCGGGAGCUCGGCUCUGCUUGCCGAGCCCAGCAGACAACUAACAAGCUUUUGCUGAUUGAAUGAAUGCAUUGUAAACUCCGUUACGGGGAGAAACUCGAGGUUUAACCUCUAUCCCACCCUAUUACAUCCGCAGAUGGUUACAUAUUAAAAGAAGCCUCGGGCAGAGAGCAGCGCUCCCUCGGAGCUUUGUGCCCUCGGUUUGGAGACGACGUGCCUGAAGGAUGGGAUGGGUGGUGGCGCUUAGCGCCUCUCCUCAAAGCCGCCGCUGGGAUGGACUCAGGCCCCAGGGGAGCCCCGUACCCCGCGCCGGUUGGCACGGAGGGUGUCAGGGCCAGCGGGCAGAAUACCACCUGAUGGCUCAGCAGCCUAGCACUCUCUGCCCCUCUGGGAAGACAGAAGCCCCCUACCCUUCCAGAGCAGCAAAGAAAGGGUAGGCAAAGGGAAGACAGCCGGAGCUCUCACACCUGCAGCAAAAGGAAUGGAAACCAUGCAACACCUGGCAGACAGGUAGCAAGAGCUCACCAGCAUAGCCAAAGUGCCUUUCUCCAAACACCAGAGAGAGCAAGAGACUGCAAGCAAGGGGAGUGGCAGAAGGAAAGGGAGAAG